This is a long non-coding RNA of Malaya genurostris, 487 nucleotides long. RefSeq lists it as uncharacterized. The record is from RefSeq and is a predicted model, not a curated record. The transcript has 3 exons. NCBI's taxonomy places the organism in Eukaryota, Metazoa, Arthropoda, Insecta, Diptera, Culicidae.
AAAAAACUUAUUGUAAAAGUUUGUGGUGCAGUUUUUUCGAGUGACUGAUUGUCGAUUAAAAUAACUUUUUGUAAAAGUGGUGUUCUAAAUAUAAUUCUGUUUCAAAAUGACUGAAAGUGACUUAAAUGUGAAAAGACUUCAACUGCAGUGACAAUAUAUGCUUCAGCACUGACAGGGUUGUUACGGUUGCACGGAUUACGCGAUUUUCGCGGAUUUGGCGCGGUUUCUACUUAGAUUUUGUUCCGAUGGCGCGGAUUUUGCGCGAAUUUGAAGAAACGUCAUUUCGGAAAGACACGCCUCUAAGUCAUUUUCUACGAAGACCAUACUAGUCAGAAUUCAUUAUCGGAUUUCUGUAUUAUCCGAAUUCUACAAGCGAACAUAUCCAAAUAUUAUGCUUGAUGGUAUGCUAAUGCAUAGUUACAAUCGUCGUGAUCGCUGAACACUUUCGCUGGAAACAGUAGAUGUUUCUCUGCUCAGUGAUCGUUGU